This 497-nucleotide ribosomal RNA is filed under the name uncultured bacterium. RNAcentral's name for it is "partial 16S ribosomal RNA". It matches the Rfam family "Bacterial small subunit ribosomal RNA", at positions 28 to 507 of the family's 1533-position model. The record is from RNAcentral.
GAUGAACGCUGGCGGCGUGCCUAAUACAUGCAAGUCGAGCGAACAGAUGAGGAGCUUGCUCCUCUGACGUUAGCGGCGGACGGGUGAGUAACACGUGGAUAACCUACCUAUAAGACUGGGAUAACUUCGGGAAACCGGAGCUAAUACCGGAUAAUAUAUUGAACCGCAUGGUUCAAUAGUGAAAGACGGUUUUGCUGUCACUUAUAGAUGGAUCCGCGCCGCAUUAGCUAGUUGGUAAGGUAACGGCUUACCAAGGCAACGAUGCGUAGCCGACCUGAGAGGGUGAUCGGCCACACUGGAACUGAGACACGGUCCAGACUCCUACGGGAGGCAGCAGUAGGGAAUCUGCCGCAGUGGGCGAAAGCCUGACGGAGCAACGCGGCGUGAGUGAUGAAGGUCUUCGGAUCGUAAAACUCUGUUAUUAGGGAAGAACAAAUGUGUAAGUAACUAUGCACGUCUUGACGGUACCUAGUCAGAAAGCCACGGCUAACUACGUG